UGUUAAAAUUUGUAUCCAUUCCUACCACUAAAAAUUGGUUUGGCUAACAAAAUAAUUAGAAAGCUAUACAUGACACCACAUGUACUUUUUUUUGACAUACACAGAUCAUUUUUUAACAAUAAAAAUAAAUAAAAUUUCUAAUA
Molecule: microRNA precursor, 143 nt
Filed under: Gossypium hirsutum (cotton)
Lineage: Eukaryota; Viridiplantae; Streptophyta; Magnoliopsida; Malvales; Malvaceae
Description: MIR7502 microRNA precursor family
Rfam family: MIR7502 microRNA precursor family
Source: Rfam by way of RNAcentral